RNAcentral lists this long non-coding RNA (202 nucleotides) under Mytilus galloprovincialis (Mediterranean mussel). Lineage: Eukaryota; Metazoa; Mollusca; Bivalvia; Mytilida; Mytilidae. The record is from RNAcentral.
CGCUGAUAAACAUGUCAAACAUAUGCAAGCAUGCAAACAUUUGAAUAAAAUGUUACUGGUCUAAAGGUGGCACGGGAAUCUAUAUAUUAAGCAUAUUUGCAUGUGUUCUACUUCUAAAGCUGUUUGAUCAAAGGCAAUUUGUAAAGAAUGUCAAUCGGAGUUUCGUAUACCAGUGAACAGUCUAGCUUAUCCACAGUUAAAC